RNAcentral lists this ribosomal RNA (925 nucleotides) under uncultured bacterium. RNAcentral's name for it is "bacterial SSU rRNA". It matches the Rfam family "Bacterial small subunit ribosomal RNA", at positions 8 to 916 of the family's 1533-position model. The record is from RNAcentral.
AGAGUUUGAUCCUGGCUCAGGACGAACGCUGGCGGCGUGCCUAAUACAUGCAAGUCGAGCGAAUGGAUGGGAGCUUGCUCCCUGACAUUAGCGGCGGACGGGUGAGUAACACGUGGGCAACCUGCCUAUAAGACUGGGAUAACUUCGGGAAACCGGAGCUAAUACCGGAUACGUUCUUUUCUCGCAUGAGAAAAGAUGGAAAGAUGGCAUCUCGCUGUCACUUAUAGAUGGGCCCGCGGCGCAUUAGCUAGUUGGUGAGGUAACGGCUCACCAAGGCCACGAUGCGUAGCCGACCUGAGAGGGUGAUCGGCCACACUGGGACUGAGACACGGCCCAGACUCCUACGGGAGGCAGCAGUAGGGAAUCUUCCGCAAUGGACGAAAGUCUGACGGAGCAACGCCGCGUGAGCGAAGAAGGCCUUCGGGUCGUAAAGCUCUGUUGUUAGGGAAGAACAAGUACCAGAGUAACUGCUGGUACCUUGACGGUACCUAACCAGAAAGCCACGGCUAACUACGUGCCAGCAGCCGCGGUAAUACGUAGGUGGCAAGCGUUGUCCGGAAUUAUUGGGCGUAAAGCGCGCGCAGGUGGUUUCUUAAGUCUGAUGUGAAAGCCCACGGCUCAACCGUGGAGGGUCAUUGGAAACUGGGGGACUUGAGUGCAGGAGAGAAAAGUGGAAUUCCACGUGUAGCGGUGAAAUGCGUAGAGAUGUGGAGGAACACCAGUGGCGAAGGCGGCUUUUUGGCCUGUAACUGACGCUGAGGCGCGAAAGCGUGGGGAGCAAACAGGAUUAGAUACCCUGGUAGUCCACGCCGUAAACGAUGAGUGCUAGGUGUUGGGGGGUUCCACCCUCAGUGCUGAAGUUAACACAUUAAGCACUCCGCCUGGGGAGUACGACCGCAAGGUUGAAACUCAAAGGAAUUGACGG